GGGCAUGUAGUGUAGGGGUUAUCGCGCCUCAUUCGCAUAGUGAUUUGAGGAGGCCCUGAGUUCGAUUCUCAGCUUGUCCA
RNAcentral lists this transfer RNA (80 nucleotides) under Rhizoctonia solani AG-8 WAC10335. It matches the Rfam family "tRNA". From Rfam's summary of the family: Transfer RNA (tRNA) molecules are approximately 80 nucleotides in length. Their secondary structure includes four short double-helical elements and three loops (D, anti-codon, and T loops). The record is from Rfam by way of RNAcentral. Lineage: Eukaryota; Fungi; Basidiomycota; Agaricomycetes; Cantharellales; Ceratobasidiaceae.